GCCCCGGUAGCUCAGUGGUGGAGCUCCUGUAUAUGGUGAACGAAAUCGCCUAAAAAUAACUAUCAGGAGGUCUGAGGUUCAAUCCUGCCCGGUGGCU
This is a non-coding RNA of Meloidogyne enterolobii, 97 nucleotides long. The record is from the annotation of a GenBank genome assembly. NCBI's taxonomy places the organism in Eukaryota, Metazoa, Nematoda, Chromadorea, Rhabditida, Meloidogynidae.